AGAGUUUGAUCCUGGCUCAGAUUGAACGCUGGCGGAAUGCUUUACACAUGCAAGUCGAACGGCAGCACGGGAGCUUGCUCCUGGUGGCGAGUGGCGAACGGGUGAGUAACAUAUCGGAACGUACCUAGUAAUGGGGGAUAACUAGUCGAAAGAUUGGCUAAUACCGCAUACGCCCUGAGGGGGAAAGCGGGGGAUCGUAAGACCUCGCGUUAUUAGAGCGGCCGAUAUCUGAUUAGCUAGUUGGUGGGGUAAAAGCCUACCAAGGCGACGAUCAGUAGCUGGUCUGAGAGGACGACCAGCCACACUGGAACUGAGACACGGUCCAGACUCCUACGGGAGGCAGCAGUGGGGAAUUUUGGACAAUGGGCGCAAGCCUGAUCCAGCCAUUCCGCGUGAGUGAAGAAGGCCUUCGGGUUGUAAAGCUCUUUCGUGGGGAAGAAUGACUGAUUUGAAAAUAUUGAGUCAGUAUGACGGUACCCAAGGAGGAAGCCCCGGCUAACUACGUGCCAGCAGCCGCGGUAAUACGUAGGGGGCAAGCGUUGUCCGGAAUUAUUGGGCGUAAAGGGCGCGUAGGCGGAUAUUUAAGUCCGGUGUGAAAGAUCAGGGCUCAACCCUGAGAGUGCAUCGGAAACUGGGUAUCUUGAGGACAGGAGAGGAAAGUGGAAUUCCUAGUGUAGCGGUGAAAUGCGUAGAUAUUAGGAGGAACACCAGUGGCGAAGGCGACUUUCUGGACUGUAACUGACGCUGAGGCGCGAAAGCGUGGGGGAGCAAACAGGAUUAGAUACCCUGGUAGUCCACGCUGUAAACGAUGAGUGCUAGGUGUAGAGGGUAUCGACCCCUUCUGUGCCGCAGUUAACACAAUAAGCACUCCGCCUGGGGAGUACGGCCGCAAGGUUGAAACUCAAAGGAAUUGACGGGGGCCCGCACAAGCGGUGGAGCAUGUGGUUUAAUUCGACGCAACGCGAAGAACCUUACCAGGGCUUGACAUCUACAGAAUCCUUAGGAAACUAGGGAGUGCCCUUCGGGGAGCUGUAAGACAGGUGGUGCAUGGUUGUCGUCAGCUCGUGUCGUGAGAUGUUGGGUUAAGUCCCGCAACGAGCGCAACCCCUGUGUUUAGUUGCUAACGCGUAAUGGCGAGCACUCUAGACAGACUGCCGGUGAUAAACCGGAGGAAGGUGGGGAUGACGUCAAAUCAUCAUGCCCCUUAUGUUCUGGGCUACACACGUGCUACAAUGGCCGGUACAGACGGAAGCGAAGCCGCGAGGUGAAGCAAAUCCGAGAAAGCCGGUCUCAGUUCGGAUUGCAGGCUGCAACUCGCCUGCAUGAAGUCGGAAUCGCUAGUAAUCGCAGGUCAGCAUACUGCGGUGAAUACGUUCCCGGGCCUUGUACACACCGCCCGUCACACCACGAAAGUCUGCAACACCCGAAGCCGGUGAGGUAACCCGUAAGGGAGCUAGCCGUCGAAGGUGGGGCCGAUAAUUGGGGUGAAGUCGUAACAAGGUAACC
Molecule: ribosomal RNA, 1506 nt
Filed under: uncultured bacterium
Lineage: Bacteria
Description: bacterial SSU rRNA
Rfam family: Bacterial small subunit ribosomal RNA
Source: RNAcentral